UGUGGGCUCUAUGAACUCCCACUUUGGUUGGAUGGACUGAUUUGAUGAAUGAUGAUGCUAUUAAUGUUGGUUUAGUGUUUAAAUUAGUGGAAUAAUGUUGUAUUGUUGGUAGAAACUCAAAGGGGAGUGAAGGUGAAAAUUUUCCAAUUCUGCCCCUAUGUUGUCCGUGACCCUUAGGGUGAUUUUUCGUGGUUCUAAUGGCUUAUUUAUGAUGUAUAUAUGUUGUGUGGGUUGUAUAAAAAGUUUCAUAAAAAAAUAACGUGAUUUGGUUAGCCAAACGUUGUGAUUUCGGAAGUUCGGCAAAUCUGAAAAUUUUCCCGUCACUGCCCUGACAGUGUUUUUCAAAUGGCCAUAACUUUUUACUCCGAUAUCAAAAUCGAGUGCCGUUUGUGGAACUAGAAACUAGACAUUCCUAGCUUUCCAAUGGUAUAAAUUUAUGUCCUGAUUCCACCGGAGUAAACCGUACCACUCAUUUGAACUUGACUGUCCUGUUUCACUAGUUCACUGGAAGCUCUGUUUUGAGCAGCAAAUUGAUGCUCAAAUAUGAGCUAGUUGUGGACAGAUUUUGAAAAUGAUUUCUUCUGAGAAAUUAUAGCUUUAUGAAUCUAGUUUUCAACGCCACCAACCAUACUCAAUUCCAAGUUAAAUUGGGUGAGUUGUGGCCAUAUUUCAAAACUGAUACAGUGAGUAAAAACCCUCUUUUUGACUAGUAAAUGCCUAAAUCUUGAUUGGGACUUAUCAAUCAAGCAAACACACUUGAUUGUGGUGUCCUCUACCGUUAAAUGCGUUCUUGAGUGGUCCAAGUUUGGGUUCAACUUCGUCAAUUCCGCAACAUGUCUUUUAAGAUCCCAAGUUUGCUUCCGCGUUCACAUCAUCUAGCAAUCCGAGCUAGAUAGAGGUAUCACGUAUAUCCCUUUUUCUUGUUUUUGAGCCUUGAAAUCGUUAAGAGUCACCAAAAAAAAAAUUGUACUGUUCAUCGGUACUGUUCACCGAUUACUAUUCACCAUCACUGUUCACAUACUGUUCAUCCGAACACAAAAAUCUAUGUGUGUUAUCUUUUUGUGUUUUGUGCCUCGUUCAAUAAAAAAAAAUUUUAUGGUCGCUAGUUUUUGUUCUUGAAAGCCAAAAUCAAAGUAGGGUUUCUUGACAAGAGGUGUUGGGAAUUUGUGUGUCUUGCACUAAACAAGGUUGUUUACCUUUGUUCUUGAUAAUUUCUUGAAUUUUUUGGAAAUUCUUGGGUGAAUCUUGAAGUAUUGGGUUGGUAUUCUUGGGUUCUUGAAUUCUUGAAGUCAAAAUUACCAAAUCGUGAACAAACCAAACCCUAGUUCUUGUUUCUUGAAGUUGGGGUGACCUUGUGCAAAAAUCAAAACGAAACUCUUGUUUCUUGUUGAGAUGCGAAUUGAAAAAGAAGAAAAAGAAAUCUGAUUGCAUUACAAAAAAAAAAAAAAAGUUGCGGCAACUAGGGUUUCUUCCUCUUAUGGUCGCAUCUCAAGUAGUUUUGUCAUUGUGUAGUAAUCUGUCCAGAUUUGUUUCCUCUUGUUGUUGCUGUUAGUUUUUGUCUAGUUCGAGGUCUAAUUCUGGUUGGAGUUUUGUGUCGUUUGGGGUUGCAAAACAACCCAGCAAAAAAAAAAGAGGGGUGUUACUUACCUUGUUGUGUCGUGAAUCAUUGCUGGAAUUUGUUUCUUUGGUGGCUGCCGAACCUAUUUGCCUUUUGUCCUUGAACCCUUGUGUGUUCUUGCGAAACUUGAAUACCAAAAGCAUAUUUGGGGAGUUCUUGAACUUCUUGAUUAGCCUUCUUCAAAUUCUUGAAAUAGAUUUGGGAAUUCUUGGGAAAAGCCUUGGGUUCUUGAAAACAAACUUCAAUCUUUCUUGGCCAAUUGUGAACUUGAUCGAAACUCCAAGUUGUUGGACUGAAAUCUGAGUUCUUGAAAAAAAAAAAAAAAAAGACUAGAGAGCCUGUGACAGCCCCACCUUCCCCUAAGGCGAACCAA
This 1991-nucleotide long non-coding RNA is filed under the name Coffea arabica (coffee). Its description in RNAcentral is "long non-coding RNA (CARA_LNC008379)". The record is from RNAcentral. Lineage: Eukaryota; Viridiplantae; Streptophyta; Magnoliopsida; Gentianales; Rubiaceae.